AACUUCAACAAUGGAUCUCUUGUUCCGGCAUCGAUGAAGAACGCAGCGAAAUGCGAUAACUAAUGAAUUGCAGAAUUCAGUGAAUCAUCGAGUCUUGAACGCACAUUGCGCCCCCUGGUAUUCCGGGGCAUGCCUGUCCGAGCGUCAUUGCUGCCCUCAAGCCCGGCUUGUGUGUUGGUCGCCGUCCCCCUCUCCGGGGGACGGCCCGAAAGGCAGCGGCGGCACCGCGUCCGAUCCUCGAGCGUAUGGGCUUUGUCACAUGCUCUGUAGGAUUGGCCGGCGCCUGCCGACGUUUUCCAACCAUUCUUUCCAGGUUGACCUCGGAUCAGGUAGGGAUACCCGUGAACUUAAGCAUAUCAAUAACGGAGGAAAAAACCAACCGGAUUGCCUCAGUAACGGCGAGUGAGCGGCAAGAGCUCAAAUUUGAAAGCUGGCUCCUUCGGAGUCCGCAUUGUAAUUUGCAGAGGAUGCUUUGGGUGCGCCCCCGUCUAAGUGCCUGGAACGGGCCGUCAGAGAGGUGAGAAUCCGUCUUGGGCGGGUGUCCGUGCCGUGUAAAGCUCCUUCGACGAGUCGAGUUGUUGGGAAUGCAGCUCUAAAUGGUGGUAAUUUCAUCUAAAGCUAAAUACUGGCCGGAGACCGAUAGCGCACAAGUAGAGUGAUCGAAGAUGAAAGCACUUUGAAAAGAGAGUUAAACAGCACGUGAAAUUGUUGAAAGGGAAGCGCUUGCGACCAGACUCGCCCGCGGGGUUCAGCCGGCAUUCGUGCCGGUGUACUUCCCCGUGGGCGGCCAGCGUCGUUUGGGCGGCCGGUCAAAGGCCCCUGGAAUGUAGUGCCCUCCGGGCACCUUAUAGCCAGGGGUGCAAUGCGGCCAGCCUGGACCGAGGAACGCGCUUCGGCACGGACGCUGGCAUAAUGGUCGUAAACGACCCGUCUUGAAACACGGACCAAGGAGUCUAACAUCUACGCGAGUGUUCGGGUGUCAACCCGUGCGCGCAGUGAAGCGAACGGAGGUGGGAGCCCCUUGCGGGGCGCACAUCGACCGAUCCUGAUGUCUUCGAUGGAUUUGAGUAAAGCGUAGCUGUGGGGACCCGAAAGAUGGUGAACUAUGCCUGAAUAGGCGAAGCCAGAGAACUCUGGUGGAGGCUCGCAGCGUUCUGACGUGCAAAUCGAUCGUCAAAUUUGGUAUAGGGCGAAAGACUAAUCGAACCAUCUAGUAGCUGGUUCCUGCCGAAGUUUCCCUCAGGAUAGCAGUAACGCAAAUCAGUUUUAUGAGGUAAAGCGAAUGAUUAGAGGCAUUGGGGUUGAAACAACCUUAACCUAUUCUCAAACUUUAAAUAUGUAAGAAGCCCUUGUUGCUUAGUUGAACGUGGGCAUUAGAAUGGAGCGUUACUAGUGGGCCAUUUUUGUAAGCAGAACUGGCGAUGCGGGAUGAACCGAACGCGAGUUAAGGUGCCGGAAUGCACGCUCAUCAGACACACAAAGGUGUUAGUUCAUCUAGACAGCCGACGGGGCUGGAGUCGGAUCGCUAAGGAGUGUGUAACACUAGGGCGAAUGAACUAGCCCUGAAAUGGAUGGCGCUCAAGCGUGCUACCCAUACUCGCCGUCGGGUAGAACGAUGCCCGACGAGUAGGCAGGCGUGGGGUCCGUGACGAAGCCUUGGGAGUGAUCCGGGUCGACGGCCCUAGUGAGAUCUUGGUGGUAGUAGCAAUACUCAAUGAGAAUUUGAGGACUGAAGUGGGGAAGGUUCCAUGUGAACAGCAGUUGACAUGGGUUAUCGAUCUAAGGAUAGGAAGUUCCGUUUGAAAGGCGCCUCGUGCGCCGUGUGCCGAAGGGAGCCGGUUACAUUCCGGACUGGAUGUGGAUUCUCACGGCAACGUAACUGAACGCGGAGACAUCGGCGGGGUCUGGGAGAGUCUCUUUUCUUCUUGAGGCCUAUCACCUGAAAUCGUUGUCCGGAGCUAGGGUUCACGGCGGCAGAGCCCUGCACCUUUGCAGGGUCGGUGCGCCCCGACGAUCCUUGAAAUCGCGGGAAGGAAUAGUUUUCACGCCAGGUCGUACUCAUAACCGCAGCAGGUUCCAAGUGACAGCCUAGUUGAUAGAAAAUGUAGAUAGGAAGUCGGCAAAUGGAUCCGUAAUUCGGGAUAGGAUUGGCUUAAGGGUCGGCUCGCUGGGCCUUGGGGGAAACCCUCGGACAGGGGGCACUACGGGCAACGGCCGGCGCCCCCAGCACGGGUGGGGGACGCCUUGGCAGGCUUCGGCCGUCCGGCGGCGCUUAACGAAACUUAGAACUGGUACGGACAAGGGACUGACUGUCUAAUUAAACUAGCAUUGGAUGGCCAGAAGUGGUGUUGACGCAUGUGAUUUCUGCCAGUGCUUGAAUGUCAAGUGAAGAAUAACAAGCGGGGUAACGGCGGGAGUAACUAUGACUCUCUUAAGGUAGCAAUGCUCGUCAUCUAAUUAGUGACGCGCAUGAUGGAUUAACGAGAUUCCACUGUCCUAUUACUAUCUAGCGAACACAGCAAGGGACGGGCUUGGCAGAAUCAGCGGGGAAAGAAGACCUGUUGAGCUUGACUCUAGUUGACAUUGUGAAAGAAUAUGGGGUGUAGAAUAGUGGGAGCUUCGGCGCCAGUGAAAUACCAUACUUAUCGUUUUUUUACUUAUUCAAUGAGGGAACUGGGCUUCACGCCCAUCUUCUGGCGUUAGGUCUUCGCGGGCCGAUCCGGGUUGAAGACAUUGUCAGGUGGGGAGUUUGGUGGGGCGGCACAUCUGUUAACCACACGCAGGUGUCCUAAGGGGACUCAUGGAGAAAGAAUCUCAGUAGAAAAGGGUAAAGUCCCUUGAUUUUGAUUUUCAGUGUGAAUACAACAUGAAGUGUGGCUAUGAUCUUUAGUCCUCGAAUUUGAGGCUAGAGGUGCAGAAAGUUACCAGGAUAACUGGCUUGUGGCAGCCAGCGUUCAUAGCGACGUUGCUUUUUGAUCUUCGAUGUCGGCUCUUCCUAUAUACGAAGCAGAAUCGGUAAGGUUGGAUUGUUCACCACUAAUAGGGAGUGAGCUGGGUUUAGACGUCGUGAGACAGGUUAGUUUACCCUACUGAUGAAGGUGCCGCAACGGUAUUCAAUUUAGUACGAGAGGAACCGUUGAUUCAGAUAAUUGGUUUUGCGGCUGUCUGACAGGCAGUGCGCGACGCUACCAUUGCGGAUAAUGGCUGAACGCUCUAAGUCAGAAUCCGUGCGGACGCGGCGAUGUUGCCGCAGUGU
RNAcentral lists this ribosomal RNA (3256 nucleotides) under Aspergillus niger. Its description in RNAcentral is "eukaryotic LSU rRNA". It matches the Rfam family "Eukaryotic large subunit ribosomal RNA". The record is from RNAcentral. Lineage: Eukaryota; Fungi; Ascomycota; Eurotiomycetes; Eurotiales; Aspergillaceae.